Molecule: ribosomal RNA, 250 nt
Filed under: uncultured bacterium
Lineage: Bacteria
Description: partial 16S ribosomal RNA
Rfam family: Bacterial small subunit ribosomal RNA
Source: RNAcentral
GACGAACGCUGGCGGCGUGCUUAACACAUGCAAGUCGAACGGAAAGGCCCCUUCGGGGGUACUCGAGUGGCGAACGGGUGAGUAACACGUGAGUAACCUGCCCUUGACUUCGGGAUAACUUCAGGAAACUGGGGCUAAUACCGGAUAGGAAUCCUUGCUGCAUGGUGGGGGUUGGAAAGCUUCGGCGGUUUUGGAUGGACUCGCGGCUUAUCAGCUUGUUGGUGGGGUAGUGGCUUACCAAGGCUUUGAC